RNAcentral lists this ribosomal RNA (442 nucleotides) under uncultured bacterium. Its description in RNAcentral is "partial 16S ribosomal RNA". It matches the Rfam family "Bacterial small subunit ribosomal RNA", at positions 338 to 795 of the family's 1533-position model. The record is from RNAcentral.
CCUACGGGAGGCUGCAGUGAGGAAUAUUGGUCAAUGGGCGCAAGCCUGACCCAGCAACGCCGCGUGAAGGAAGAAGGCUUUCGGGUUGUAAACUUCUUUUAAGAUGGGAGCGCAGAAGACGGUACCUCUUGAAUAAGCCACGGCUAACUACGUGCCAGCAGCCGCGGUAAUACGUAGGUGGCAAGCGUUGUACGGAUUUACUGGGUGUAAAGGGCGUGCAGCCGGGAAGACAAGUCAGAUGUGAAAUCCCGCGGCUCAACCGCGGAACUGCAUUUGAAACUGUGUUUCUUGAGUACCGGAGAGGUCAUCGGAAUUCCUUGUGUAGCAGUGAAAUGCGUAGAUAUAAGGAAGAACACUAGUGGCGAAGGCGGAUGACUGGACGGCAACUGACGGUGAGGCGCGAAGGCGAGGGGAGCAAACAGGAUUAGAUACCCUGGUAGUC